GUUGUCGUGGCCGAAUGGUUAAGGCGGUGGACAAGAACUCUUUUGGGAUCUUCCCGCGCAGGUUCGAAUCCUGCAGACAUCG
RNAcentral lists this transfer RNA (82 nucleotides) under Dreissena polymorpha. It matches the Rfam family "tRNA". From Rfam's summary of the family: Transfer RNA (tRNA) molecules are approximately 80 nucleotides in length. Their secondary structure includes four short double-helical elements and three loops (D, anti-codon, and T loops). The record is from Rfam by way of RNAcentral. Lineage: Eukaryota; Metazoa; Mollusca; Bivalvia; Myida; Dreissenidae.